Long non-coding RNA from Belonocnema kinseyi, 603 nucleotides. RefSeq lists it as uncharacterized. The record is from RefSeq and is a predicted model, not a curated record. Lineage: Eukaryota; Metazoa; Arthropoda; Insecta; Hymenoptera; Cynipidae. The transcript is spliced from 3 exons.
GCAUAUCGUGACUGCUACUGUGGUACUUUUUCCAAUUAAAAGAUACAAAGUAAUGUCAAUGAUUUGUGGAAGUGUAUGAAAGCAGAUGAGACGUAUCUUGCUAACGUUGAAACAAAAAUUACAGAACUGCUGCAAAAGAAAACUCAAAAGAAGACGGCUUAUCUAAACUUUUUUACAAGUCAGAAUUGACAAAAGGCAAGCAAUAAGACAUCAAACGAAUCGUCUACGUCACAACAUUCUGAAGCUUUGCACGUUCCCGAAUCUCUAGGGUCAAAUAAUGCAAUAAUAUACGUUGAUAACAGUGAAAUUGAAGGGAGUGAAAGUGAUACCAAGAUUUCUAUUUCGAAUCGCUUUUACGACACACCUGCACAAGAUGCAUUAAAAGCAAAUAUAAGUCUCUCAGAGAAACAGUUAGUUGCAGCGAUUGAGGGUCGUGAUUCUGGUCUGGGAGGAUCUGACUGUCACCAAAAUAGUGAUAGGCUGCAAAAAGAGCUAGAUGAAAGUAAAAAAUUGUUAACUUCAAAAGAGAAUAAGGCAAAACGUGCGAAAAAAUAUCGAAGUGCAACGAAAGAAACACAUUAAAAAAUCAAGCUUGAAAGUUCA